CUUUCAUUUUCUGGCCUCUGGGAGAAAACGUUUAUUUAUUUUAUUUUGAGGAGGCCAAGACAGUUGAACUUUUAGGGAGUGCUGUAAUUUACUAGAGGGAGGAGGCAAGGGCUCAGAUUCACAAGCAAUUGGUGGGAAACUAGGCCUCAAAGCAGAAAAUGAAAAGUCGAUCUGGGGGAAGAUUUUUAAAUAAGUGGGUCAGAGGGACUGAGCGGAGAUGAGGCGAUCAAUCUUAGCCCCCUGACAGCUCUCUCGGAUUGCAUCAAAGAAUUUGGUUCUUUGGGAAAGCAGAAGGAACAGCCGAAAUUCCACAUCCCUUAAAAAGGCCUGAGGGAGGGGGUGGCAAAAAGAGAAAGGUGAUUCUGGGAGAGCCAGGAAACAGAUGGGAAAUGGGGACAGAGGGAAGGCGCUGAGUUGGGUGGAAAGUUUGCCCCAGAACUCCCACGGCUCGGGCCUCCCCUCCCCCUCCCGGCUCUCCGUCGCCGGCCCAGCCGGGGCGGAGAAGGGCUGCUUAGCCGGGAAACGGCGUCUCAGCCUGGAGCUGGAACUAGAAACUUUCUGUCAGUGUAACAUCCGCGUGGGUGGUGGGAGGCCUGGGAGAGCGCUCUCCGGCAGGCCCGGUGGUCACCUCUGCAAGUUUUCUAACAACCGCUACAGUUGGCUGCAAGCAGGUACCCUGGGCCCAGGCGGACCCGAGCACGAAAUACAGCUCUCCAGACCUCGCUGACAGAUUUUAUGACCAGAUUAGGGAAGAGCGGAAAACUUGGGUGUUAAAAGAGGCCGGGAGAACCCUCCUUCCCAGAGACACCCCCUCCUCCCAGCCCCCCGUUGUGCUGGGAAUUACGGCGUGCAGACAUUUCACCCACGUCUCCCGCCUGACGAGCCCCUGGCAGAGAGGAGGGGAGGGAGCUCCAGGCCAGGUUGGUCUGAGUUUUGUUUGCAACCCCAGCUUCCACCAAAGCUCUGCUUUGCGUAUUCUAUCUAAAUCCUCUCCCUCGGCCUGCCUGUCUUCCACCAGCUAGAUAAAUAAGCAGUCCAUCCCACCUCCAGAGCCAAACACGGGGCUUCAUCUAGUUACCUCAUUCACAAAAUGCUCUUCAGAGAAGAGAGAAAUAGACAGACCCUUGAGCGUUAUUUGAUCCCAAUCAAACUUCGCAUGCUCUUCUGCCUCUAAAUUAUAGCCUGACCCAAUGCUAAAUUGCUUGUGCCUGGAUGAGCCCAGUCCAGUUAAAAUCCGACUGGGCUGUGUGUGUGUGUGUGUGUGUGUGUGUGUGGUGUGUGUGUGUGUGUGUUUGCAGAAUUCAGCUUGCUUUUUUAUUGUUAUUUAUCCUUGCAUAAAGGCUGUAAUUACUAACCUUGGGUUGCCAGGAUGCAACAUAAAAAUGAAAAUCAGCUUUCGCUUUAAAGCUGAGGGCCUGGAAUGAAACCUCCCCACCCCCACCACAAAUAUAUGCUCCUAAUUAAGCAAUGCGGGUGCAUCGCUUACAAUUAGAAUUAUGCAACUCUUCAGCGAGCAGCCAUCGCUUCUCUUUCAACGAAUUAGCUCCAUAUUUCAGCCACCCUGUCUCCGCGCUCUUAUCGGCUCCAGCGACACGGAGGUGACAUUUCAUCUGUGACAGACCCUCUCCAUCCUCGCUCCAAUGCGAUAAAACUUUUAUGGAACCGCGACUAAGAAAUGAAGUUUUCCCAAGGAUCAUGGAAACAGAGCUGCACAUUUGCCUGGGGACCAUUUUAUUUACGCUUGCAACCAACAUUUUCUCCCACUCUUUCCCUCUUUUCCUGGCUGGGGAAAUCAAAAUCCCCUCCUCUCCCUUGGACCCCAAGUUUUAUUUAGUGAUUUAAUUUCACUUUACUUUCAAGGUUUGACCCGAGAAGCCUAGGGAUCAGAUUUUUUUCUUUUUCUUUUUUUUUUUUAGAUUAAUCGUUUUCCUUUGUUUUCGUUUUAGACCCAAUGGUGGUUCGGCUUCAGGUCACGUGACCACUUCUUUGUAGCUCCGGAAGACGAUUGUGAAGUUUAGGUUGCUUAGAAGAAACAGUAAUCGGCCAGAUUUUUGUUUGGUUUUGCUUUGCUUUUGGGGAGUGGUGGUGGGGUGGAAGGUGGCACAACAGAGGUUGUAGCCGAAGGAGGAACCAGACAAAAGGUCAAGCAAUGAGAAAAAUGGAGCAGCAGAAGGCUAAACAGAAAGACCCAGGGGACCAGAGUCCCUUCCCACCCCCAACUUGCUACUGAAAUCUUAGCUAAGGGAGUGGGCAAGAGGUUUCAGGAUCCUAUGUGUGAUUUCUUUUUUAAUCCCUGUAUUUCAACCCCAAAAACCUCAAAGGGGAGAUGGGGACCUGAGCGGGUGGACAAAAAGGCCAGGGAGGGUCUUCAAUAUUUUCCUUCCCUUGCUGAAUAGAAAUUUGGCGGUCAGGAGCCUUGUGCUACUAUCUAAAUUGGAGCAUUAGAACGAGAUAAAAUUGAUAACAGAAAGUUUAUUCGAGAAUUGUGUGACAGACAACCCUUUUAAGUAAGGAAAAAAAGUAACUACAGAAGAACAAAGAAAGUUCCAAGAGGGAAUUAACUAACUCUACAAAUUCAGGACUAUACAGUGACCAUUAGGAGCUGAGUUUCAUGCCAUUUAGAACUAAUUACAAUCGUCAUAAUUACGAGGUUAACAUAAAUCUACAGCUCUUUAUUCUAGAGUACAAGAAAAACUAAAAUAGCCGGGUUUACAUGACAGAAAACACAACGCCCUUUAUAACAAGUAAAUACUAAAAAAAGUACAAUUUUUCCUUUUCUCCUCAUAUAAAUACAUAAUGUGGGGGGGAUAAAUAAUACAAAAAAGAAAAUAUUUUAACAGGCUAUAACCAAUAAAUAUAUAUGAAAAUGUUCACUAGAACACACGCUUUUUGAGCGAUGCUGGGCUUCUACAGGCCCAGGCAUCUCUCACAGUUGUUUUUAUAUCCAUUAAAAUGUAAACUCUAAGUGCAACAAAAGUGUCCCGGCAGCAGGCUGAGCAGGCCACACAUAGGCCCUGCUGCAGCCCCUGCCUGGGACAAACAGUUUGUUCAAAUAUACCCUGUUUUCACGUUAAGUCAAGAGAGCAACAGAAGAAAAGUGGAAAAAAUUCACGUGGCUGAUUGCUUUCUGCAGAGAGAGGGGGAUGGACCAGGAGCUGAGAUAAGGGCAGCAGAACAGGCAAAACUUCAGUCCUUGCCUGCCUCGGCCUCCUCUUUCCCUUCAAAGAAAAAAAUAUAUAUAUUUAUACUAUAGGCAGCUCUGACUUUCAGGAUCUGUCACCAUCCCUGAGCCCUCUGAAAACUGUCACUGAUGGGGGUGAGGGGUACGAGUGAAUUGUCUCGGGGCAGAAAACCAUGGGGCUGGCGGUGGAGGCCUGGGCUGAGAAACCUCGGACCGGCCAACAACAAGGAGGGUUCGGGGAAGCCGGAGGGGGACGAGCUCUGUGCCCUUGGGUUUCAAUGUGUUUUCUUAUUUUCUUAAGGAGAGUGAGAGGGGGAAAUAUCAAGAGUUGGGGGAUAACCCACACAGAUGUAAGGUAAGUUGGUCGGUUGGUGAUGGCCUGGCCAUCUUUUUUGUUUGUUUUUUGACUGUGCUUCUCUGUCUUGCCUGCCUUCCUCCAUCUCCUCCACCCCAUUCCCUCUCCAGCGCCGACUUCCAACGGGGCAGCGCUGGUGCUCCGGGUCGGACCCAGUCUGCCCUGAAUACCUUCCCGACAGGCUGGUGAGCAGACUGGAACCAAGGGGUGGAGGACCGAAAGCAGCUCCCUCGGGCCAGGGAGGAGGGAAGGAGCCCCGGGCCCGGGAGGCCUGGCGACCACCUCCCCGCGC
Long non-coding RNA from Fukomys damarensis (Damara mole-rat), 3828 nucleotides. The record is from Ensembl. NCBI's taxonomy places the organism in Eukaryota, Metazoa, Chordata, Mammalia, Rodentia, Bathyergidae.